This 253-nucleotide ribosomal RNA is filed under the name uncultured bacterium. RNAcentral describes it as "partial 16S ribosomal RNA". It matches the Rfam family "Bacterial small subunit ribosomal RNA", at positions 524 to 776 of the family's 1533-position model. The record is from RNAcentral.
UACGGGGGGGGCAAGCGUUGUUCGGAAUUACUGGGCGUAAAGGGCUCGUAGGCGGCCAACUAAGUCGGACGUGAAAUCCCCAGGCUCAACCUGGGAACUGCGUCCGAUACUGGAUGGCUUGAAUCCGGGAGAGGGAUGCAGAAUUCCAGGUGUAGCGGUGAAAUGCGUAGAUAUCUGGAGGAACACCGGUGGCGAAGGCGGCGACCUGGGUCGAUACUGACGCUGAGGUGCGAAAGCGUGGGGAGCAAACAGG